This 373-nucleotide ribosomal RNA is filed under the name uncultured bacterium. RNAcentral's name for it is "bacterial SSU rRNA". It matches the Rfam family "Bacterial small subunit ribosomal RNA", at positions 72 to 422 of the family's 1533-position model. The record is from RNAcentral.
AAGGGGCUUCGGCCCUGAGUAGAGUGGCGAACGGGUGAGUAACACGUGGGUGAUCUACCUCUGAGUGGGGGAUAACGUUCCGAAAGGAACGCUAAUACCGCAUGACGUUCCGGGUUUGAAGACCGGGAAACCAAAGUCGGGGCCCUUAGGGCAACUUAAGGCCUGGCGCUUGGAGAGGAGCCCGCGCCUGAUUAGCUAGUUGGUGAGGUAACGGCUCACCAAGGCAACGAUCAGUAGCCGGCCUGAGAGGGCGGACGGCCACACUGGGACUGAGACACGGCCCAGACUCCUACGGGAGGCAGCAGUGGGGAAUUGUUCGCAAUGGGCGCAAGCCUGACGACGCAACGCCGCGUGGAGGAUGAAGAUCUUCGGG